GAUGAACGCUGGCGGCGUGCCUAACACAUGCAAGUCGAACGAGCGAGAGAUGAAACCUAGUGAUUCUCAAGCGAGUGGCGGACGGGUGAGUAACGCGUGGGUAACCUGCCUUACAGAGGGGGAAAACAGUCUGAAAAGACUGCUAAUACCGCAUAAGCACACAGUACCGCAUGGUACAGGGUGAAAAGAUUUAUCACUGUAAGAUGGACCCGCGUCUGAUUAGCCAGUUGGCAGGGUAACGGCCUACCAAAGCGACGAUCAGUAGCCGACCUGAGAGGGUGAUCGGCCACAUUGGGACUGAGACACGGCCCAAACUCCUACGGGAGGCAGCAGUGGGGGAUAUUGCACAAUGGAGGAAACUCUGAUGCAGCGACGCCGCGUGAGUGAAGAAGUAUUUCGGUAUGUAAAGCUCUAUCAGCAGGGAAGAAAAUGACGGUACCUGACUAAGAAGCCCCGGCUAACUACGUGCCAGCCGCCGC
RNAcentral lists this ribosomal RNA (479 nucleotides) under uncultured bacterium. RNAcentral describes it as "bacterial SSU rRNA". It matches the Rfam family "Bacterial small subunit ribosomal RNA", at positions 28 to 518 of the family's 1533-position model. The record is from RNAcentral.